GGAGAGGUGGCCGAGUGGUUGAUGGCGCACGCUUGGAAAGCGUGUUAGGUGUUAAAGCCUACGAGGGUUCGAAUCCCUCCCUCUCCG
This 87-nucleotide transfer RNA is filed under the name Deltaproteobacteria bacterium CG11_big_fil_rev_8_21_14_0_20_45_16. RNAcentral's name for it is "tRNA-Ser". It matches the Rfam family "tRNA". From Rfam's summary of the family: Transfer RNA (tRNA) molecules are approximately 80 nucleotides in length. Their secondary structure includes four short double-helical elements and three loops (D, anti-codon, and T loops). Further hydrogen bonds mediate the characteristic L-shaped molecular structure. tRNAs have two regions of fundamental functional importance: the anti-codon, which is responsible for specific mRNA codon recognition, and the 3' end, to which the tRNAs corresponding amino acid is attached (by aminoacyl-tRNA synthetases). tRNAs cope with the degeneracy of the genetic code in two manners: having more than one tRNA (with a specific anti-codon) for a particular amino acid; and 'wobble' base-pairing, i.e. permitting non-standard base-pairing at the 3rd anti-codon position. The record is from RNAcentral. Lineage: Bacteria; Deltaproteobacteria.